CAGGCGGGUGCACUCACCUCCACCUUGUGGUGCAACGUGACAUUAGACAUCAGCUCUUCAAGCACACCACACAGCUCAGUACUCACACAUGUCAAAAUGCAGGUUGGCGUCCCUUCCGCAUGGCCCAGUAAUCUGACGAAUCUGCUGAGAACAGGGCUUGUUGACAGCGGAAAAACUUGGCUCAUUGAACCGGAUGUGGUACCGUUCUUGUGCUUGUACUUCUUCUUCUUCUUGGUGAAUUGGAUGUCUUUAGUUCAUAUC
Long non-coding RNA from Hippocampus comes (tiger tail seahorse), 261 nucleotides. RefSeq lists it as uncharacterized. The record is from RefSeq and is a predicted model, not a curated record. NCBI's taxonomy places the organism in Eukaryota, Metazoa, Chordata, Actinopteri, Syngnathiformes, Syngnathidae. The transcript has 3 exons.